Molecule: ribosomal RNA, 542 nt
Filed under: Arachnobas sectator
Lineage: Eukaryota; Metazoa; Arthropoda; Insecta; Coleoptera; Curculionidae
Description: partial 16S ribosomal RNA
Rfam family: Bacterial large subunit ribosomal RNA
Source: RNAcentral
GGCUUAUUGAUUAUAAUUUUAGGUCUGGCCUGCCCACUGAUUUAUUAAAUGGCUGCGGUAUACUGACCGUGCAAAGGUAGCAUAAUCACUAGUUUUUUAAUUGAAAGCUUGAAUGAAAGGUUUGAUGAAAAAAUAACUGUCUCUAUCUAAAUUAAUUAGAAUUUUAUUUUUAAGUAAAAAAGCUUAAAUAUAUAUAGAAGACGAGAAGACCCUAUAGAGUUUUAUAAUUAUUUUUAUAAAUAAAAUUUAAGAAUUUUAUAGUUUAUAAGAAUUAUUAUUUAGUUGGGGUGAUUAAAAAAUUUAUUAAACUUUUUUUGUAUUGUUACAUUAAUUUAUGAUUAAUUGAUCCUUAUUUAAAGAUUAAAAGAUAAAAUUACCUUAGGGAUAACAGCGUAAUUUUUUUUUAGAGUUCUAAUCGAAAGAAAAGUUUGCGACCUCGAUGUUGGAUUAAAAGAAAUUAUUGGUGUAGAAGCUAAUAAAUUAGGUCUGUUCGACCUUUAAAAUUUUACAUGAUCUGAGUUUAAACCGGUGUAAGCCAGGUC